This is a long non-coding RNA of Ostrinia nubilalis (European corn borer), 1265 nucleotides long. RefSeq lists it as uncharacterized. Lineage: Eukaryota; Metazoa; Arthropoda; Insecta; Lepidoptera; Crambidae. The transcript has 2 exons. The record is from RefSeq and is a predicted model, not a curated record.
UGGCUCUGUGCACGAUUACAGCGCCAACUAGCGUCCACAACUUUGUGGGCUCUGUCACAUUGACAUUUAGGUCGUUUAAUUGUGAAAAAAUAUCGAAAUGAAAAAAUAACAAAUAUUUUCGACUAAUAAAUUGUUGUGAUACCACGAUUUGGGUGGAAAAAAGGUUUUGAAAUCAUUUUGGUCAUUCAAAUCAAAUGAGAUCGAAAUGAGUAUUGUUUUGAAGACCGUGUUUGUGAGUGUUACAAUAUCAAAUUCCAACCACACACCGUAUUUAAAGGAAAGUUGUUGGUAUUGGCUGGACAAGUCCGAGAUGUAGAAGAAUUGAGAACAAAACAAGGGCAGAGUUCAAUAAUUCACGCUCUCAUCAUAAUGCAAACAUCUGUGCACAACAACUACUGUGACUCAUUUUUGUACUACCACGUUGUAUAGUCUAGUUAUUUCCAAAUUAUAAACGGCUAUUAAACCAGUCCUAUCGAAAUACAGUCCACUCUUUUAUUUAAGUUCCCAGUAGGACCCUUUUCAUGCGAUUAAUUAAUGAUAUUAAAAUGUAUUAUGUAGAAUCGCUUUGCCAUUGACAGAUACAUCUGAUGACAGAGCUUACAUUAUUUCUACUUUUGACCACCAUGAGCGCUGCGAUAGAUUAUGUUACCCCCACCUAGUACUUCGCACCCAGCGAUACGUUGUUUAUCAAGAACUUUUCUAAAAUGAGUUAGCAUUAAAAAACAGAUUUUAUUAUUAUGUUUAUUAACAGACAUAAGCUAUUUAACCUAAUUACAAAAUGCAUUGUUUAAAGAUACAGUAAAUAUUAAUUAAAAUUAAAGAUAUCCAAAAAUUUUGCGUAGCAAAACUGUGCUCAUUAACAUUAUUUGGGUAUGAAAUAUUUCAAAUAAAAUCAAAAAGUUUCAAAUUACUUUUAGUCGUUGGUACUUAAACGUUAGAGCCGGCAUAAAUGGCACAUUUAACACUUUAUAAAGACUAUAAAAAUAGUGACGUUUAUCUUCGUCAUGUAAAAAACUUAUAAUUAUUUAAGCAAAUGUAAACUCAUUGUAAACUCUCAAAAUUUAUAUAUGUACGAAAAUUACAUUAAAUAUAUUUUUAGACAUUGAAAGGCCUUUAGACACACGAGUAUAAUCAAAUAUUUAAAGACUAAUUGAAAUACAAACUCAAUUGUAGUCGGAUUCAAUUUUGUAAUCAAACGAAUUAAAUUACGUUUAUUUUUAUAUCUUGUGCUUUAAACAAAAUAAAUGUCUUCUAACAACCUUUAA